CAGCCGCCGCGGGAAUACGAAGGGGGCUAGCGUUACUCGGAAUUACUGGGCGUAAAGGGCGCGUAGGCGGCACGAUUAGUCAGGCGUGAAAUUCCUGGGCUCAACCUGGGGACUGCGCUUGAUACGGUCGAGCUAGAGGAUGGAAGAGGGUUGUGGAAUUCCCAGUGUAGAGGUGAAAUUCGUAGAUAUUGGGAAGAACACCGGUGGCGAAGGCGGCAACCUGGUCCAUUACUGACGCUGAGGCGCGACAGCGUGGGGAGCAAACAGGAUUAGAUACCCCAGUGUCCCUGUCUCUUAUACC
Molecule: ribosomal RNA, 301 nt
Filed under: uncultured bacterium
Lineage: Bacteria
Description: partial 16S ribosomal RNA
Rfam family: Bacterial small subunit ribosomal RNA
Source: RNAcentral